RNAcentral lists this ribosomal RNA (343 nucleotides) under uncultured bacterium. RNAcentral describes it as "bacterial SSU rRNA". It matches the Rfam family "Bacterial small subunit ribosomal RNA", at positions 454 to 793 of the family's 1533-position model. The record is from RNAcentral.
UUAAUACCCGUCAGCUGUGACGUUACUCGCAGAAGAAGCACCGGCUAACUCCGUGCCAGCAGCCGCGGUAAUACGGAGGGUGCGAGCGUUAAUCGGAAUUACUGGGCGUAAAGCGCAUGCAGGCGGCCAAGUCAGUCAGAUGUGAAAGCCCCCGGGCUUAAACCUGGGAAUUGCAUUUGAAACUGCUUGGCUAGAGUCCUUGAGAGGGGGUAGAAUUUCAGGUGUAGCGGUGAAAUGCGUAGAGAUCUGAAGGAAUACCAGUGGCGAAGGCGGCCCCCUGGCAAGAGACUGACGCUCAGAUGCGAAAGCGUCGGGGAGCAAACAGGAUUAGAUACCCUGGUAG